AAAGUGAAAAGUUGAAGAAAAUCAGGAAAGAGUCACUGCUUUCCAAUAUCCACAAUAUUUCAGUUUUUAUGGAAUGUCACAUUGCUCUUAUUUACAUCAAGAAGUAAAUGAGAAACAAAGGACUGCAGAUGCUGGAAUCUAGAUGAAAACUACGAUGAUGCUGGAGGAACUCAGCAGGCCAGGCAGUAUCCAUGGCAAAAAGCAGGCGGUCAAUGUUCCAGGUCAGGACCCUUCAAAGCAAACCCAUCAUAGCGUUUUUCAUUUACAUGGAUUACUAGUUUCAUACAUCACCACAUUAUUGCCCUACCCACUAUUGUUCUUCCUUUACUGUGACACAAGGUUCA
Molecule: long non-coding RNA, 344 nt
Organism: Pristis pectinata (smalltooth sawfish)
Lineage: Eukaryota; Metazoa; Chordata; Chondrichthyes; Rhinopristiformes; Pristidae
Exons: 4
Source: RefSeq, a predicted model, not a curated record